GUAAUCCAUCUGCCAUUCCUAGUAUGUUUCUGCGGCAGUGGCUUUGCAGCAGUUCCAGUCUGAGUUUGUUCACCAGAUAAUUUACAAAUCUCAGACUUCAAAAAUACAAUCUCCUGCCGCAAGAUAGAGAACUGUCUACAGAUUAGACAACAACCAAACCUCCAAAAAGUGAAACGUGAAACAAAUGCAUAGCAACUAUUACACUGAACUAAGUC
Pelobates cultripes (western spadefoot toad) is the source of this 215-nucleotide non-coding RNA. Lineage: Eukaryota; Metazoa; Chordata; Amphibia; Anura; Pelobatidae. The record is from the annotation of a GenBank genome assembly.